This is a long non-coding RNA of Oxyura jamaicensis (ruddy duck), 1798 nucleotides long. RefSeq lists it as uncharacterized. The transcript has 2 exons. The record is from RefSeq and is a predicted model, not a curated record. NCBI's taxonomy places the organism in Eukaryota, Metazoa, Chordata, Aves, Anseriformes, Anatidae.
UCGUGAGAGUUUCCGUCUCCAGCAAACUGAACAAUAGCUCCAGACUCAAGUGUUCCCGAUCUUUGGAAAAGCUUGGACUCUGAGACAAAUUCCCUGCCUGCAGCUCAUCCCUGGCCAGCGUUUUGCCAGCCUUAGGUCAUGUGCUUCACAUUUACUCUUCGUGCAAAGUCCCCUUGUUAGGGGGUGGUGGUGUCAGCCGCUUGCCCUACACCUACAGGGACAGCAUUGUUAAGAGACACUUUCACACCAUGCGUCCCGCACUCGGAGGUGGCAUCCGGGGCUUCACGCAGGCAUUCUCACUUCCAGCUCACAGGAGUGACAGCAUGGCCUGCUAUAAAUCAGGAGCCUGCACGUGAUUGACAUGUGAACUGGCAGCGAGAGGACAAGGGCUGACAUCUGGCUUACACAUGCUCUGUGCUGGUUUUCCCUGAGUAAGGAUUUGGGUGCAUUUUGCACACUUUAAAUCGUUUCAAGAACAUUGAAAACAUUUAGUUCUCUGUUGAUUGGAAAAACAGAACUGAACUUCUGAAGUAUGUGGUUUAUUCCUAGAAACAUGUGAGCCAUGCCAGCAUUCAAGUUGGUGUUUAACUCUGAAGCAACGUGUCUUCCAGUUUUGUCAGGACUGUAAUACCACGGCGUUCAAUUAUCCAAGUGCAUGGUUCACUCUUUUGAUGCACAAGACCCCAGCGAUCCCAGUUAUCCCCAUUAGGAAACCCGUGUGAGACUUGGCUGUGCCCCGGAUUGAUUCCUACACAAUCAUGCCUGAAAACUCUUCUCCAGCGCAGCCAGAUGUGCUUUCCUGCACAGUGCAGUGGGGCCUUGGCUUCUGAUUAAGUCCACAAUAUCAAUGUAAAGGCUGGCACCAAGGGAACCUCGAGGUGAUGGGCGUACCAGAGCACCUUGUUCUAGAACCUGCACUCUCUGUCUCACAGGGUUGUGCCCAUACUAAAUGUGGUUUAUAUUUUUAAUUCUGCUUCCAGAAGGAAACAGAAAGACAGAAGAAACAAAUCAGCCUGCCCUGUGUUGGAUAUGGGAAGGUUUCAUUUUCUCUGAGUGCCAACAUCAGAUGGAUGGAAACAGACAAGGUCAAUUUUCACAUUCUCAUCCCCAGGUGAAAAAGAUCAAGAGAAAAGUUCAAAAAGCCCUUAUUAGAUGGUGAAAGGUUUAGCCUAAGAACAAAAGACUUUCCAGGCCUUUUGGAGGACCACGCUGUUGGAGUUCAUUAAUAUAACAUACUGCCACUGUGUCUUCAAAUGGACCUGUCAGAAAUGUUAUAAUGGCACUAGGCUAACCUCUCCUCCACUUUAAGUUUUGUGUCACUUUUGGGUGACACAAAGGCUUUACUUAGAUCCAGUAAACCUGUUUUAACCAUUUAGCCCCAGCACAUUUCCGAGAGCUGUGCAAAAGUAAGUGCUAAUAAUUAACAUGUCUUCACCCAUGCCAUAUGAGUCUUCUUGGGCUCCGUCUUCAGUAAAGCAUGAACCUAUGUUUAAUUAAAGGAAUUAUACAAGGAGAUAGAUGCUAGCAAUCAAGUUUUUCUGAUUAAGAAAGAAGGAUCUUCUUAUUUUCUUCCCACAGAUGCAAGCUCAAAUGCCCUCCUGUUCCACAUUCUCUUGACAAGCCAUUAUCAUUGCCCAAGCUUUGAGUUUCUGCAGGAGGAUGCUGCUGUUUCCUGGCCUCCUGGGUUUCAAGCCAUGCAGACCUACUUCCUGCACUCAAAUUCCUCACAGCCCACCUCUAAGUAUGUCCUGGAGCACUGCUCGGAAGGCACAGCUUGUUGUGUUUCUUGGGGCUGGCA